RNAcentral lists this ribosomal RNA (200 nucleotides) under uncultured bacterium. RNAcentral's name for it is "partial 16S ribosomal RNA". It matches the Rfam family "Bacterial small subunit ribosomal RNA", at positions 8 to 218 of the family's 1533-position model. The record is from RNAcentral.
AGAGUUUGAUCCUGGCUCAGGAUAAACGCUGGCGGCGUGCCUAACACAUGCAAGUCGAACGCGACAUGAGCAAUCGUGUCGAGUGGCGGACGGGUGAGGAACACGUGGGUCAUCUACCUUCUGGUGAGGAAUACCGGCGAGAAAUCGCCGACAAUACCGCAUAAGUUUGGCAGACAAAGAAAGCCUCGGAGACGAGGUGC